UGGGGAAUAUUGCACAAUGGGCGAAAGCCUGAUGCAGCAACGCCGCGUGAGUGAUGAAGGUCUUCGGAUUGUAAAGCUCUGUCUUUUGGGACGAUAAUGACGGUACCAAAGGAGGAAGCCACGGCUAACUACGUGCCAGCAGCCGCGGUAAUACGUAGGUGGCGAGCGUUGUCCGGAUUUACUGGGCGUAAAGGGUGCGUAGGCGGAUGUUUAA
This 214-nucleotide ribosomal RNA is filed under the name uncultured bacterium. Its description in RNAcentral is "partial 16S ribosomal RNA". It matches the Rfam family "Bacterial small subunit ribosomal RNA", at positions 355 to 586 of the family's 1533-position model. The record is from RNAcentral.